This 393-nucleotide ribosomal RNA is filed under the name uncultured bacterium. RNAcentral describes it as "partial 16S ribosomal RNA". It matches the Rfam family "Bacterial small subunit ribosomal RNA", at positions 523 to 918 of the family's 1533-position model. The record is from RNAcentral.
AUACGUAGGUGACAAGCGUUAUCCGGAUUUACUGGGCGUAAAGGGCGUGUAGGCGGGUCUGCAAGUCAGACGUGAAAUACCGGGGCUUAAAUCCGGGGCUGCGUUUGAAACCGCAGGGCUUGAGUACAGGAGAGGAGAGUGGCAUUCCUAGUGUAGCGGGGAAAUGCGUAGAUAUUAGGAGGAAUACCAGUGGCGAAGGCGACUCUCUGGACUGAUACUGACGCUGAGGCACGAAAGCGUGGGGAGCAAACAGGAUUAGAUACCCUGGUAGUCCACGCUAUAAACGAUGAGUGCUAGGUGUCGGGGGUCAAACCUCGGUGCCGCAGUUAACACAUUAAGCACUCCGCCUGGGGAGUACGGCCGCAAGGCUGAAACUCAAAUGAAUUGACGGGG